AGGACUAUACUUUCAGGGGUCAUUUCUGUAGUUGGUCACUAGAGGAGAGUGAUCACACCUGUAUAGCCAAGUGGC
RNAcentral lists this small nucleolar RNA (75 nucleotides) under Cariama cristata (Red-legged seriema). RNAcentral describes it as "Small nucleolar RNA U3". The record is from Rfam by way of RNAcentral. Lineage: Eukaryota; Metazoa; Chordata; Aves; Cariamiformes; Cariamidae.